This 330-nucleotide long non-coding RNA is filed under the name Capsicum annuum. Its description in RNAcentral is "long non-coding RNA (CANN_LNC003767)". Lineage: Eukaryota; Viridiplantae; Streptophyta; Magnoliopsida; Solanales; Solanaceae. The record is from RNAcentral.
UCACUCUGUGCCUCCUGCGACGCUGACAUCCAUUCUGCCAACCCCUUGGCACGCCGUCACCACCGUGUCCCGAUUAUGCCCAUUCCAGGUAGCCACCAUUUGUAUUUACAAGAAGAACAUAAAUUAGUCCUACAUGUACAAAAAACUAACAAUUGUUUCAAUAAAUGUCUUCUGAACCAUAAUUUCAAAAAUGUAAAGUAGCAAGAACCUUAAAGAUUGAAUCAUCAAAAUCAAAUUCUAAAAUUCGUCUCGCUUCCAAUUUCCAGGAACCCUUUAUGGUCCUCCAGCUGUUGACAUCGUUGGUGAUGAUUCAAUGAUAAUUGGUGAGCC